This 252-nucleotide unclassified non-coding RNA is filed under the name Hevea brasiliensis (rubber tree). Lineage: Eukaryota; Viridiplantae; Streptophyta; Magnoliopsida; Malpighiales; Euphorbiaceae. The record is from RNAcentral.
ACACAGGGAUAGAAGGUCUGAUGGACCUAAUCAAAUAUCAUAUUUGGACACCAGAAGAAAACAGUGAAACAGUUUCCUUCUGUCUUCAUCAGCUGAUGUAUGCCAAAAAAUUUGAAAAUCCAGGAGAGUUUUAAGUUCCAUAAUCACAUUUAGCAAUGGCCAAAGGCACCACACAGCUACCACUAUUACAAAUACAUGGUCAGAAAAAUCUAUAAAGGCGCCUUAGUGAAAAGAAAUGACCACAAAAUUCCG